Molecule: ribosomal RNA, 433 nt
Filed under: uncultured bacterium
Lineage: Bacteria
Description: partial 16S ribosomal RNA
Rfam family: Bacterial small subunit ribosomal RNA
Source: RNAcentral
AGCGAACGCUGGCGGCAGGCUUAACACAUGCAAGUCGAGCGGGCACUUCGGUGUCAGCGGCAGACGGGUGAGUAACACGUGGGAACGUACCCUUCGGUUCGGAAUAACGCUGGGAAACUAGCGCUAAUACCGGAUACGCCCUUUUGGGGAAAGGUUUACUGCCGAAGGAUCGGCCCGCGUCUGAUUAGCUAGUUGGUGGGGUAAUGGCCUACCAAGGCGACGAUCAGUAGCUGGUCUGAGAGGAUGAGCAGCCACACUGGGACUGAGACACGGCCCAGACUCCUACGGGAGGCAGCAGUGGGGAAUAUUGGACAAUGGGCGCAAGCCUGAUCCAGCCAUGCCGCGUGAGUGAUGAAGGCCUUAGGGUUGUAAAGCUCUUUUGUCCGGGACGAUAAUGACGGUACCGGAAGAAUAAGCCCCGGCUAACUUCGUG